AGAAUAAGACCUAGCAAUAUCAUGCAAAUGAAUAAGUUAUGGAAUAUGGGGUAAUCUUAUAAUAUAUUGGGGGAAUAUACCGUUUAAUGCGAUACAUCACUUUAAUCUUACUUAUAUAAUACAAGUGUUGCAAGGCUGCUGUUAAUAUGAUAAAUAAAUUAUUUUAUAUAUAAUGGACAAGUUAUUUGAUCUAUAAAAUAUAAGGCUACAAGGUAUAUUACAAUUCUAUAUAUAAAUAUAAUAAUAUAGAUAUUGAAUAUAGAUAUUAUCAUUCUAUUGAAUAUGUACUCAAUAAGUAAUCAUUAAAUAUAAAUAUAUAAAUGGUGAAUAGAUAUUAGAUUUUUACACACUGCCCGACAUAGACUUAUUAUAUAAUAUAGUCUGAAGUUGUAACAAGGUAGGUAUAUAUAAAUAUGUGCCUGAUUAUAAUAU
This 432-nucleotide ribosomal RNA is filed under the name Euglena gracilis. RNAcentral describes it as "16S-like ribosomal RNA". Lineage: Eukaryota; Euglenozoa; Euglenophyceae; Euglenales; Euglenaceae. The record is from RNAcentral.